Molecule: ribosomal RNA, 428 nt
Filed under: uncultured bacterium
Lineage: Bacteria
Description: bacterial SSU rRNA
Rfam family: Bacterial small subunit ribosomal RNA
Source: RNAcentral
GCCAGUACUAUGCAGCUCGAUGCCUGAUUAGCUAGUUGGUGAGGUAAAGGCUUACCAAGGCGACGAUCAGUAGCUGGUCUGAGAGGACGACCAGCCACACUGGGACUGAGACACGGCCCAGACUCCUACGGGAGGCAGCAGUGGGGAAUUUUGGACAAUGGGGGAAACCCUGAUCCAGCCAUGCCGCGUGAGUGAAGAAGGCCUUCGGGUUGUAAAGCUCUUUCAGCCGGAACGAAACGGUCACGGCUAAUACCUGUGACUACUGACGGUACCGGAAGAAGAAGCACCGGCUAACUACGUGCCAGCAGCCGCGGUAAUACGUAGGGUGCGAGCGUUAAUCGGAAUUACUGGGCGUAAAGCGUGCGCAGGCGGUUUUGUAAGUCAGAUGUGAAAUCCCCGGGCUUAACCUGGGAACUGCGUUUGAAAUA